AGCGACGGUGACCGGAGCUUGCUCUGUGGGAUCAUUGGCGAACGUUUGAGUAACACGUGAGCAACCUGCCCCUGACUCUGGGAUAAGCGCUGGAAACGGCGUCUAAUACUGGAUAUGUGACGUGACCGCAUGGUCUGCGUUUGGAAAGAUUUUUCGGUUGGCGAUGGGCUCGCGGCCUAUCAGCUUGUUGGUGAGGUAAUGGCUCACCAAGGCGUCGACGGAUAACCGGCCUGAGAUGAUGACCGGCCACACUGGGACUGAGACACGGGCCAGACCCCUACCCUAUCCCUCCUCGGCGAAUAUUGCGCACUGGACAGAAGCCUGCUGCAUCAACGUUCCGCGAGAGAUGAGGGCCUUCGGGCUGUACACCUCUUUUACCAAUCUACACUACAAAGUGACAGUCCCUGCGUACCAACUGCCGGCUAACUACGUGCCCUCGGCCGCGGUAAUACGUACGCGACAAACCGUUAUCCGAGAAUCUAUUGGGCCGUAAUAGAGCUCGGAUAACGCUUUGUCGCCUACUGCUGUAGAAAUCGCUGAGUGCUCAACCUCGUAGCCUGCAGCGUUUUCUGGCAGACUAGAGUGCUUCACUUCUAGAUUGGAAAUCCAGGUGUACCACCGGAAUGCCCACAUCCCCUCAAGCAACACUGAUGCAUCAGGCUUAUCUCUGUUGCGCAAUAGACGCUGAUGAGGCAUCGGGUGGGAAUCAGGGACGCGUAUAAACCCCGGUGUGCCCCCCCACACAUCUCUGGCCACUAAUUGGGUCGACCCCUUGCAGAGACUUUAUGACGCAGACUAAAGCUGAUAAGUUGCGAGCCUGGCCACUACCGGAAGAAUGUUUCAAACUCAAAACAAUGGACGCACACCACAUAUAGGGUGAAGAAUGCGUAUCAAGUGCUUAUCACCGAGUCAAGCCUUAGCUAGCUCUUGUGUUACUCAACCAGUGCGCACAGAUGGCUAAAUCUUAGCUCCCUGGUAACGGUGGAGUUGUGUG
Molecule: ribosomal RNA, 994 nt
Filed under: Microbacterium sp. A22b
Lineage: Bacteria; Bacillati; Actinomycetota; Actinomycetes; Micrococcales; Microbacteriaceae
Description: bacterial SSU rRNA
Rfam family: Bacterial small subunit ribosomal RNA (bases 1-473)
Source: RNAcentral